Long non-coding RNA from Gavialis gangeticus (Gharial), 666 nucleotides. RefSeq lists it as uncharacterized. Lineage: Eukaryota; Metazoa; Chordata; Crocodylia; Gavialidae. The transcript has 2 exons. The record is from RefSeq and is a predicted model, not a curated record.
UUCACCCUCCUUUUCAGCAUCCUCACCCUGCCACUAGAUAUGAGCUAGAGGACAUGAGUCUGUAUACGGCAGCUCUUACGGCCCAAGUGCAAACUGGAGGUACAAAUACCUCCCUUCCCUCUGCCGAGUGCGUUCUGCUUCCCCAUCAAGCUAGCAAGAGAGCCGAAAUUAUGAAUGGCCUACAGUUUUUCAGGUUAUCUCUCUCCGUACGUCGCAUCUGAGCUAAAUACCAGCCCCGUGGCAAGGCUGCUGAAUGACAUGUUUGCACUUAGGCAGUGAUUCAUGAACUGACCCCCAGAGGAAACCAUCAGGAACAUGCUCCGUCACGCUCCCUCCGGAGGAAAGCUCUUGUUUCUUUUCCUCUUCCCGUGGCACUGCAAGACCUUGAGGUGCCAAGCUGUGAAAAUCAGGCAACAUAUUUAAGCAGCUUAUUUACGCCCCUGAGGACUCUGGCUUGGAAAAUAAACAUGAGAGUUUGUAAUGAGACAGGGACUGAAGGGAAGUGCUGCCAUCCCACCUGACUUCUCAUCUCGCUCCUGGAUGCCCACCUUCAGGAGGUGGUAUUGCCAGGCACCGUGGCAGCUGAACCCUGCUGCCCUAUAAGUCCUGUUUCAUUAAAUGCUUGUGGAUUGAAUGGAAAUGAAAUGAAAAUGGUGUCUUCUCUUG